Molecule: ribosomal RNA, 450 nt
Filed under: uncultured Glomeromycotina
Lineage: Eukaryota; Fungi; Glomeromycota
Description: bacterial SSU rRNA
Rfam family: Eukaryotic small subunit ribosomal RNA
Source: RNAcentral
CGCAGCCGCGGUAAUUCCAGCUCCAAUAGCGUAUAUUAAAGCUGUUGCAGUUAAAAGCUCGUAGUUGAAUUUCGAGAUUGGCGUAUCGGUCGUGCCUUAAUUGGAAUGUACUGGUAGUUGUCAAUCUCCACCUUCUAGCGAACUGCUAUGCCUUUUACUAGGUGUAGUAGGGAGCUAGGACUGUUACUUUGAAAAAUUGAGUGUUUAAAGCAGGCUUUAUGCUUGAAUACAUUAGCAUGGAAUAAUGAAAUAGGACGGUAUGGUUCUAUUUUGUUGGUUUCUAGGAACACCGUAAUGAUUAAUAGGGAUAGUUGGGGGCAUUAGUAUUCAAUUGUCAGAGGUGAAAUUCUUGGAUUUAUUGAAGACUAACUACUGCGAAAGCAUUUGCCAAGGAUGUUUUCAUUAAUCAAGAACGAAAGUUAGGGGAUCGAAGACGAUCAGAUACCGUCG